RNAcentral lists this long non-coding RNA (2624 nucleotides) under Linum usitatissimum (flax). Its description in RNAcentral is "long non-coding RNA (LUSI_LNC004728)". Lineage: Eukaryota; Viridiplantae; Streptophyta; Magnoliopsida; Malpighiales; Linaceae. The record is from RNAcentral.
UCGAAGGAGGCUAGCGAGGGUGUUCCCAAGAGGAAGCAAUCAUUCACCGUGGAGAUUGUGUGUGUCUCGUUCUUGAUAAUGUUCGUUAUUAACUACUUCACCGGGAAACGAGAGAAUGAGAACAUCGCCCUCGCCUGGGCUGCGAAAUUCGCUACCAAGGAUUCAAUCUUCGAGAAGAAUUUUAGUCUUCUGGGAGUCGGGGAAGGGGAUAUAUUCACCCUUGCUGUUGAAAGAAGGGUAGAACGUGUUCAAGUUCUACGCUAGCGGCCGGAGGUUUUGCCAAGGGAUGUUGGCGACGAUGGAGUUGAAGAGCAGGGCACGAUUUGAUUGCCAAGUUGUACAAUGUGGUGGUUCCCUGUAAGGAUGAGAUCACAUUCCAAGUUUAUAUGAAUGACAAUGCCAUGGACCAAGUGUUUUUCGCAAUGGCCAAGAAGAAAGCUGCCAAAGCUAUGCAGAAGGAGGUUUAUGGAGUGUUAGGCCAUCUCCUUUGGUUUUUUUGUGAAACAGAGAUAAAUGGAGCGAGAGGAAGAAAAAGAGAGGGGGAAUAGAAUUGGUCAACUCUCACCCAGCGGCUCAAUGCAAGGGAGUCUCACCAAGUUCAACUUGGAGUUUGUGAACGGUGAAUUUACUGAAGCGGAGCUGAAGAAGAUUAUGUCCAAUGACAAGCUUACUGAGCUUGCAAUGGCUGAUCCAAAGCGUGUCAAAAGGUUUUAUUCAAUCACCCCUUCCAGUUUUAAUUUGAGAUAUUAGCUAAUCCAUAUAUGUUUAAAUGCUGAAAUGUCUCAUCCAGGAUCUUGGCAAAUCGUCUAUCUGCUGCUCGGUCCAAGGAGCGAAAAAUGAGGUACAUUUCUGAAUUAGAGCAAAAGGUGCAAACUUUACAGGCCGAAGCCACUACAUUGUCAGCCCAGGUUACGGUGUUACAGGUUGGUAUCACCAUCAAUAUUUGCUCCUGCCAUAUCCUUAUACUCUUUUAUUCCUCAACUAAUCUCCAAUCAUCCCACCUUAUAGCGUGAUUCUUCAAAUCUGACAAAUCAGAACCAUGAACUGAAGUUUCGCCUUCAAGCAAUGGAACAACAGGCCCAACUCAAAGAUGGUGAGUUCUCGAGUGCUUGCUUGGUCUUAUUCGUUUUCUGUAGAAUCUGAAAAAGGGAAUACCUACAAAUAUGAGGAAAUUAUGGUUCAUAAUUGUCCUUGAUGAAGCUUGACCUUGUUGGAAUGUGGAUAGAAUUUUCUUUGGUCCUGUUCCUGCUUUCCUGCCGUUUUGCUAAAUAUCCUAACCUUGAAAGCCUUUUCUGUCCUCAAGAAACUUAUUCAAGGUUCUCGACAUUGUACUUGCCCCCUUGACAGUGACUUUAGUUUGAAGUUGAUCUCUUUCAAUGUGAGCCAAAAAUGCUGAUUUGUUUGAUUUGAUGUGGCAGCUCUAAAUGAAGCAUUAGUUGGUGAAGUCCAACGACUGAGGCUUGCUGCCACAGAUGUUGGAGCAGAUACUAGUCAUCAUCAUCAUCAGCAGCAGCAGCAGCUUCUUGGUAAUAUAAUGCAGCAACAGAAUGCAUAUCAGCAUCAGAGACAACGAUCAACACAGCUAAACCAAGCGCAGAGCAGCAAAUGAGUCGGACAAAGAUAGGAGCUCGGGUAAUUUGAAGAAAAAUUGCACAUUCUUAAAUACAUAAAAGUCAAUAUAGAGUACAAAAAUCAUAUGAUAUAGAGAGAUGAAACAUUCAAAUUUACAGAUAUCAUUCUUUUGGUGGGUGAAACAAAGUAAGAAAGGGGUGGUUUACUACUUUAGGUGGAGGGAGAAACUUGUGAUUAUAGAUUACUAGAGAUGAUUCAGUAUUUGAAACCAUUGUCCUGUAGGUUUAACAUUUUUUCGUAUACAUCCUAAGGUUGUAUUUUUCAGCUUUUUUAUCAAAGUGGUAAAUGUCGUCCCCGAUUUCCAUCGAAUUUCGUCUACCAUGUCAGUUUGUAUUGGCCAUGCAUGCCAUGUCGUCAUUAAUCCUAAUCAUUAAUCAACAAAUUAAAAAUUAAAAAAAAACAAAAUUCUCUAUUUAACAACACUGUCAUCCUCUCUCUCUACAACACUACUUCUCCUAUCGCUUCUCUCUUCCUCCGUCCUCCGACUCGAUCUGAUCCACCGCCACCAGAAGAACAGCCAAACUGGGAUUCCAGUAUUUUCUGAAGAGAUGAUGAUCCCUCAGCAUCGAGCUUUGGCGCAGAGUAAAUAGCUUCUUUCUCCUGUCUCCAUCACCCCAAUUCCAAACCUACUUUCACUAAAUCUGAUGUUUCCAAAUCCAAAACCGAUUCUCCGUCUACUACAACUUUCAGCUUGGACUACUGGGACGAAGACGAGUUCGAAGGUCUCCCGAAUCAGCCUCAAAAUCCAGCUGUUGAUAAUACUCCAAUCACUCCCUCAACUACUGAAGGAAGUAAAACAUCAUAUCCGAAUUCGAAGGAGGCUAGCGAGGGUGUUCCCAAGAGGAAGCAAUCAUUCACCGUGGAGAUUGUGUGUGUCUCGUUCUUGAUAAUGUUCGUUAUUAACUACUUCACCGGGAAACGAGAGAAUGAGAACAUCGCCCUCGCCUGGGCUGCGAAAUUCGCUACCAAGGAUUCAAUCUUCGAGAAGAAUU